RNAcentral lists this ribosomal RNA (497 nucleotides) under uncultured bacterium. Its description in RNAcentral is "partial 16S ribosomal RNA". It matches the Rfam family "Bacterial small subunit ribosomal RNA", at positions 28 to 507 of the family's 1533-position model. The record is from RNAcentral.
GAUGAACGCUGGCGGCGUGCCUAAUACAUGCAAGUCGAGCGAACAGACGAGGAGCUUGCUCCUCUGACGUUAGCGGCGGACGGGUGAGUAACACGUGGAUAACCUACCUAUAAGACUGGGAUAACUUCGGGAAACCGGAGCUAAUACCGGAUAAUAUAUUGAACCGCAUGGUUCAAUAGUGAAAGACGGUUUUGCUGUCACUUAUAGAUGGAUCCGCGCCGCAUUAGCUAGUUGGUAAGGUAACGGCUUACCAAGGCGACGAUGCGUAGCCGACCUGAGAGGGUGGUCGGCCACACUGGAGCUGAGACACGGUCCAGACUCCUACGGGAGGCAGCAGUAGGGAAUCUUCCGCAAUGGGCGAAAGCCUGACGGAGCAACGCCGCGUGAGUGAUGAAGGUCUUCGGAUCGUAAAACUCUGUUAUUAGGGAAGAACAAAUGUGUAAGUAACUAUGCACGUCUUGACGGUACCUAAUCAGAAAGCCACGGCUAACUACGUG